AAUUUUUGACAAUGGGGGAAACCCUGACACAGCAAUCCCGCGUGCAGGAUGAAGGCCNNNGGGUUNUCAACUGUUCUUGUACGNAACNAAAAGCUUUGGCCUAAUACCCUGGGACCAUGACGGUACCGUCAGAAGAAGCACUGGUUAACUACGUGCCAGCAGCCGCAGUAAUACGUAGGGUGCAAGCGUUAAUCGGAUUUACUUGGCGUAAAGCGUACGCAGGCGGUUUUGUAAGACAGUGGUGAAAUCCCCGGGCUCAACCUGGGAACUGCCAUUGUGACUGCAAGGCUGGAGUGCGGCAGAGGGGGAUGGAAUUCCGCGUGUAGCAGUGAAAUGCGUAGAUAUGCGGAGGAACACCGAUGGCGAAGGCAAUCCCCUGGGCCUGCACUGACGCUCAUGCACGAAAGCGUGGGGAGCAAACAGG
This 424-nucleotide ribosomal RNA is filed under the name uncultured bacterium. RNAcentral describes it as "partial 16S ribosomal RNA". It matches the Rfam family "Bacterial small subunit ribosomal RNA", at positions 360 to 776 of the family's 1533-position model. The record is from RNAcentral.